Long non-coding RNA from Fundulus heteroclitus (mummichog), 169 nucleotides. RefSeq lists it as uncharacterized. NCBI's taxonomy places the organism in Eukaryota, Metazoa, Chordata, Actinopteri, Cyprinodontiformes, Fundulidae. The transcript is spliced from 3 exons. The record is from RefSeq and is a predicted model, not a curated record.
CUCUCCUGGCUCUCCUGGCUUGCCUGGUUCCCCCUGAAUACAAAAUAUGUUUCUGAUGGUCCAGAGUCACCAGCGUCUCCUGGGUGUCCAUCUGGGCCCUUAAAAACGACAGGCAUGCUUUGAAAAAAAUCUGAAUGAAUCAUCUGCAGAGACGACGGUCUUCAUCUGG